RNAcentral lists this small RNA (318 nucleotides) under Vigna angularis var. angularis. RNAcentral's name for it is "Non-protein coding transcript". Lineage: Eukaryota; Viridiplantae; Streptophyta; Magnoliopsida; Fabales; Fabaceae. The record is from RNAcentral.
AUUUCUUCCUUUCUCGUCCGUUCCCAUCAUCUAGGUUUAAUUUAUCUAACACUUCUUUAUUCCCAUUGUUCCCUAAAUCCCUAAAUCCAUAAGUUCUCCAUUCAAACUCUCUUAUCUGCUCAUUCCCUAAAUCCCUAAACAACUUUGGUGAGUUUCGCAGGUGGGAUGCUGGCGAUGCUCAACGAGCCCCAUCUCUCGCUUAAGCUUCAUGCGCACUCCAACCUCAACAAAUUGGUCGACACCUUCUGGCCGAGAUCUCCACUAGUCGGCCUAAGAUAGUGGAGACAAUUUGUGUGCAGUUGUGAUUUGCUUCCAGCA